This is an RNA transcript of Beta vulgaris subsp. vulgaris (sugar beet), 4862 nucleotides long. It is a transcript of the gene named DNA-directed RNA polymerase III subunit 1, with no coding region annotated. The transcript has 29 exons. The record is from RefSeq and is a predicted model, not a curated record. NCBI's taxonomy places the organism in Eukaryota, Viridiplantae, Streptophyta, Magnoliopsida, Caryophyllales, Amaranthaceae.
GCGAAAAUACUAGUACCUGUCUUAAACCCUGUUUCCCCUCUGUUUACAUUCUUCAGUUGCUACUUCACCUCUCCCCUGUACACAUUCCAUAUUUAUCGCGGGCGAUUCUUCUUCUUUGUCCGGAAAUUGAAACCCUAAGAACUUUUCCCCUAAAUUAUUGUCGGAAAAUUCACACUUCCAAUUGAACUUGCUGCACAGCAAGAUGCUGCGGCCUCAUGAUAAUAUAGUCUUUACUAAGCAGCCUUAUAUCGAGGACAAUGAACCUCGCCGAAUUCAUAGCAUCACGUUUUCGAUGUUCUCGGCACCGGAAAUCAGUAAAAUAUCGGAAGUUGAAGUGUUUAAAGGUGUUUAUUAUGAUGCUCAAAAGAAGCCUAUUGUCAACGGUCUUUUGGACCCCAAAAUGGGGCCUCCGAACAAAAGCAGUGGUCUUUGCACAACGUGUUAUUCAAAAUACGAAGAUUGUCCGGGCCAUUAUGGAUGCUUGACUCUUUCACUGCCUGUUUUUAAUAUCGGCUAUAUUAGUGCCAUUCUAGAUGUUUUGAAGUGUAUUUGCAAGUCUUGCUCACAUAUCCUGCUACCAGAAAAAGAAUGUAAAGAGUUUUUGAAGAAGAUGAGAAAUAACAAGCUUGACUCGCUGCAAAAAACUGAACUGAGGAAAAAGAUUGUUAAGAAGUGUACCUCUAAACUGGAAGUGCAGUGCUUGAGAUGUGGGUACUUGAAUGGAAAGGUGAAGAAGGGCAAAACUGCAUUACAAAUUGUUCAUAAUCGUCCAAAGCAGGACAAAAACCAUGAAGAAAGUGGAGCAUCCUCUCCUUCUCUUAUAAAUCCACAUGACGCGUUGUUAUUGUUUAAGCAAAUGCUGGAUCAGGACUGUGAGCUACUCUAUCUAAAUAAUAGACCUGAAAAUCUUAUAAUUACCAACGUAUCUGUUCCUCCGAUGGCUCUUCGUCCUUCUGUUUUUGUGGAUGGAGGAAUUCAAAGCAAUGAAAAUGACAUUACUGAAAGGUUAAAAAGAAUUAUACAAGCAAAUGCUUGCCUUCACCAGGGUUUGCAAGAACCAAGUAGCUCAUAUAAAAUUUUGGAUGACUGGGAUUACCUUCAAGUUGAAGUGGCUCAAUACAUAAAUAGCGACGUACGUGUUGCUUUACAAGGACAACAACCUACCAAGCCAUUGAGUGGGUUUGUCCAACGUCUAAAAGGGAAACAAGGACGCUUCCGUGGGAAUCUGUCUGGGAAGCGUGUCGAGUUCACUGGAAGGACUGUAAUAUCACCUGAUCCUAAUCUGAAAAUCACAGAGGUUGCUGUUCCACUGCUAAUGGCUUCAAUCUUAACAUACCCUGAAUGUGUCAAUCAUCACAAUAUAGAAAAGUUGAGGCAGUGUGUACGCAAUGGGCCAAAGAAGUACCCGGGCGCAAAGUUUGUUAUAGAACCCAAUGGUGACAAGAAGGAUUUAUCAUUUUCUGGUAGGAAACGAAUUGCUGACGAAUUAAAGUUUGGGUACAUAGUUCAUCGUCACCUUGAAGAUGGAGAUGUUGUUCUUUUUAACAGGCAACCAAGUUUGCACCGGAUGUCUAUUAUGUCCCACAGGGCUAGAAUCAUGCCAUGGAGGACUUUGAGAUUCAAUGAAUCUGUUUGCAAUCCAUACAAUGCUGAUUUUGAUGGCGAUGAGAUGAAUAUGCAUGUUCCACAGACGGAGGAAGCUAGAGCAGAGGCUUUAUUGUUGAUGGGGGUUCAAAACAACCUAUGUACGCCGAAAAAUGGAGCUAUAUUGGUCGCUUCCACCCAGGACUUUUUGACAUCUUCUUUUUUGAUUACCAGAAAGGAUACAUUCUAUGAUCGUGCAACAUUUUCUCUAAUGUGUUCUUAUAUGGGAGAUGGAAUGGAAAUGAUUGACUUGCCAACACCAACAUUGGUUAAGCCAAUUGAGCUCUGGACGGGUAAACAAUUAUUUAAUGUUCUAUUACGUCCGAAUGCACAACUGAAGGUCUUUGUAAAUCUUAUGGUGAGAGAGAAGAUAUAUUGCAAACCUGAAGACAGGGAAACUACUUGCAGGGAGGAAACCAUGUGUCCUAAUGAUGGUUUUGUUUACUUCCGCAAUAGUGAAUUAAUGUCUGGGCAACUUGGAAAAGCUACCUUAGGGAAUGGCAAUAAAGUUGGGCUUUUCUCUGUCCUUGUUCGAGACUAUAAUGCACAUGCUGCUGCUGCUUGCAUGAAUCGAUUGGCAAAAUUGAGUGCCAGGUGGAUUGGUAAUCAUGGGUUUUCAAUUGGCAUUGAUGAUGUCCAACCUGGGAAAUUUUUAAAUGAACAGAAACAAUUCAAUAUAUCCGCAGGCUAUAAAGUGUGUGAUGGGCUAAUACAAUCCUACAAUGAGGGGAAUCUGACUCUCAUGCCAGGCUGUGAUGCAGCGCAAACUCUAGAGGCAGAAAUAACAAAAAAUUUAAAUGAAAUUCGUGAAAUAGCUGGAAAGAUUUGUAUGAAAGAGCUUCACUGGAGGAAUAGCCCAUUGAUAAUGUCACAAUGUGGCUCAAAAGGUUCCCCAAUCAAUAUUAGCCAAAUGGUUGCAUGUGUUGGUCAACAAGCAGUUGGGGGGCGUAGAGCACCAGAUGGCUUCAUCGAACGCAGUCUACCACAUUUUCCUAGAAAAUCAAAGACCCCAGCAGCUAAGGGUUUUGUGGCUAAUUCAUUUUACACAGGCUUGACAGCUACAGAAUUUUUUUUCCAUACUAUGGGUGGGCGAGAAGGCCUAGUCGAUACAGCUGUGAAAACUGCUGACACUGGUUAUAUGUCACGUAGACUGAUGAAAUGCUUGGAGGACCUAGCUGUUUAUUAUGACAUGACUGUGAGAAAUUCUAAUGGAACUAUUAUUCAGUUUUUUUAUGGUGAUGAUGGCAUGGAUCCAGCACAAAUGGAAGGGCAAGAAGGAUUUCCGCUGGAUUUUGAGAGGUUGCGUUUCAAAGUUGAGGCUACUUGUCCUGCAGGGAGAAAUAUGAAACUAUCUCCUGAUGAGAUCUCUGAAACUAUUAAUAGGAGGCUUUCAGAUUAUGAUGUGAGUACUGGUGGUGGUUGUUCUGAUGCCUUCAAGAAGAAGAUGUUUGAUUUUUUCGAUAAAUUAGCUGGAAGGAAAUGCUAUGUUUCUGAGCAGCAGCUGCAGGUGUUCUUGGAUGCUUGCAUUACUCGGCUUCGUUCAAAAAGGAUCGAAGCUGGAACAGCUAUUGGGGCAAUUGGAGCUCAGAGUAUUGGGGAGCCCGGGACGCAAAUGACGCUGAAGACGUUCCACUUUGCUGGGGUUGCCAGCAUGAAUGUUACCCUUGGAGUUCCUCGUAUUAAAGAAAUCAUUAAUGCAAGCAAAAAGAUAAGUACACCAAUUAUCAUGGCAAAACUUGUGGAUGAUAAGAGUAUGGAACUAGCUCAAACUGUAAAAGCUCAAAUUGAAAAGACAUUGUUGGGCCAGGUUGUGAAGAGUAUAAAGCUUGUAAUGACUUCAAUUAGAGCUUCAAUAGUUGUUAAACUUGACAUGGAAAAGAUUAAUGCUUUGCGUCUGUGUAUAAAUGCUCAUACCGUCAAGGAUAAAAUUGAAAAAACUUUGGCGAAGCGCAAGAAUGACAAGCUGAAUGUUAAAGUACUUGAUGAUGUGAAGCUGGCUGUCCUGCCAGAUGCUGAUAAACUUGAUGCUCAUUUUUUACUACACAGACUUAAGAAUAAGCUUCCUACAGUUGUCGUAAAGGGAAUUGAUAGCAUUGAACGAGCCAUUAUUGCUGAAGAGGAAAAGAAUAAGGGGAAGCUCAACUUGAUUGUUGAAGGGACGGGGCUUAGGGAAGUCAUGGGGAUUUUAGGAAUCAAUGGAUACAAGACAGAGAGCAAUCAUAUAGUUGAAGUGCAACAAACUCUUGGCAUAGAAGCAGCAAGGAGCUGUAUCAUCAGAGAGAUAAAUAAGGUCAUGCAAAGUCAUUCCAUGGAUGUAGACAUACGCCAUAUGAUGCUUCUUGCUGAUGUGAUGACAUUUAAGGGGGAGGUUCUGGCAGUUACCAGAGUUGGAAUUGCGAAGAUGAAAGAAAGUAUAUUGAUGUUGGCAUCUUUUGAGAAAACAGCUGAUCAUCUUUUUAAUGGUUCUGUAAAUGGAAGGGAGGAAAUGAUUGAAGGAGUUAGUGAAUGCAUUAUUAUGGGCGUACCAAUGCAAAUUGGCACGGGAAUAUUGAAGAUAAGGCAGAGGCCAAUGAAUUGUCCCCUUUGCAAUCUCUUCUGGUACCAGGUCCAUACCUUCUUGUUGGGCUGACCCUCAGCUUAUCCUCCACCUUGAUGGCCAGAUCCAUUGCUCGAAAGUGUAAGAAUUGAUUCAUUGCCAGCAUUCAAAUAUGAAUCCGAUCCGAUUGUAGUUUGAACAGAUUAAGCUAAAGGCAAUCAAGCUUUUGGAGGUCACUGAUUAAGGGCUAUUAUUUUCUCCAUUACUCCUGGAAACCAUAACUGUGACAUAUUCCCGCCAGGGAACAGUGUAUUAUAAAGACCCUGAUGAUGGAAGUUGCUGAAGCAAUCAUUCUCUGAGGAGAGCUCGAAUAUGUCACCAUGACGAAUGGUUUCGUGAAACGAAUCCUAUUGGAAAACAGGGUCCGCGUUGAGCACGUGCGACAUAGGCAACCAUACACGAUCACCAAAAUUAGGCGCCAAUUGUAUAAAACAAUUUUCAUCGUUGUGUUGGACUUAUAUAUUACUAGUCUUAUAUGCAUACUAUCGUGCAAAAUUAUUAUUGAAGUUAAAAAUUUAAAUACAACUCACUAAAGUAAGUCUGUCCAACUCUCUUGGUAUAACUAUCAAGUAUUAUAUUAAUGAUUAUUUCAAAUUGAAUAUAUUUAUUCUAUUUGACGCAA